Molecule: ribosomal RNA, 253 nt
Filed under: uncultured bacterium
Lineage: Bacteria
Description: partial 16S ribosomal RNA
Rfam family: Bacterial small subunit ribosomal RNA
Source: RNAcentral
UACAGAGGCCUCGAGCGUUAGGCGGAAUCACUGGGCUUAAAGCGUGUGUAGGCGGAGUUCUAAGUACCUUGUGAAAUCCCACCGCUCACCGGUGGAACUGCUGGGUAUACUGGAUCUCUUGAGCCACUUAGGGGCUACCGGAACAAAUGGUGGAGCGGUGAAAUGCGUAGAUAUCAUUUGGAACGCCAAUGGUGAAAACAGGUAGCUGGGAGUGUGCUGACGCUGAGACACGAAAGCCAGGGGAGCGAACGGG